GGGUAAGUCUUUUACGACCAGCUCCCUUUGAAUCCCCCAGGGUGGGAACGCAGCAAGGGUAUUAGGUUGAGCGGUGCGAUAAAAGGGGCUUGCCCAUU
Molecule: signal recognition particle RNA, 98 nt
Filed under: bacterium A37T11
Lineage: Bacteria
Description: Bacterial small signal recognition particle RNA
Rfam family: Bacteroidales small SRP
About the family: The non-coding component of the signal recognition particle in Bacteroides
Source: RNAcentral